This 450-nucleotide ribosomal RNA is filed under the name uncultured bacterium. RNAcentral describes it as "bacterial SSU rRNA". It matches the Rfam family "Bacterial small subunit ribosomal RNA", at positions 354 to 796 of the family's 1533-position model. The record is from RNAcentral.
GUGGGGAAUAUUGGACAAUGGGCGCAAGCCUGAUCCAGCCAUGCCGCGUGUGUGAAGAAGGUCUUCGGAUUGUAAAGCACUUUAAGUUGGGAGGAAGGUCAGUAGCUUAAUACGUUGCUGAUUUGACGUUACCGACAGAAUAAGCACCGGCUAACUCUGUGCCAGCAGCCGCGGUAAUACAGAGGGUGCAAGCGUUAAUCGGAAUUACUGGGCGUAAAGCGCGCGUAGGUGGUUAUGUAAGUUGGAUGUGAAAUCCCCGGGCUCAACCUGGGAACUGCAUCCAAAACUGCAUAGCUAGAGUACAGUAGAGGGUGGUGGAAUUUCCUGUGUAGCGGUGAAAUGCGUAGAUAUAGGAAGGAACACCAGUGGCGAAGGCGACCACCUGGACUGAUACUGACACUGAGGUGCGAAAGCGUGGGGAGCAAACAGGAUUAGAUACCCCUGUAGUCC